GUAUGCUUUUUCCUUGUUAAUCUGUUUUUUUCUGUUACAGGAGCUCCAAUCAAGAACCUAGGAGGGUAGAAGGAAAAGUCUUUUCCUUUGCUACCCUAUGUUACAGAUGAGGACACUGAGGCUCAGAGAGGGGAAGCGACCUGCCCAAGGUCACACAGCCAGCACAAGGUAGAGCUGGGAUUCGAACCCAGCUCUUAAUGGGAUUCGAACUGGCUCUUCUGUUACACUUUCACUCCUGAUGCUAGCUUUGGUGUGAACCAAACCAGAACCCAUCAAGUGUUUAGCAAAGCACCAGGCAAACAGUAAGUGCUCAACAAAUGCAUGGUUCUUUUCCUUGUUUUCUUUCCUUGACUUUCAGGACAAAGCUGUUACUCCUCAAUGGGCUUGAUGAUUGACACUGGCUCGAUGAUUUACUCCGCCCAACACCAUGUGUCUCUUACUCCAGUGCUGGGGUGAAAUCACGUGGUGAUCCCACUCCACAUCUCACCCUCAUCUUCUGCCAUCAUCUAAAUAGUUCCUGGCAGAAGCAAUCUAUCCUCUUUCAGGGAGUCAUCCUGGAUGGGCACCUCCCUGCCAGGUGCUGAGACUGAGGCUCUGAGACUUGAAGGAAUUUGUAGACAUGAGGUGAUCUGUAGGCAUGAGGAUAAAGGAGGGCUGUGAACCGCCACUCAGGAACACAGGAGCACAUCCUUGUGCAGGUGACGUUUGGGGAGACCCUUGACAAAGGGCUAGCCUCUUAACAGGGAGACGUGGGGAGGUGAGGAGAGAAGGGAAGGGCAAGCUGGGCAGAGGAGACCACGGGAGCAAGGCAGGAAGAUAGGACUGGCUUCCGGUAUCUUCAAGGAUUGGAUGGAGAGGGUGGAAGGAAAAUAGGGCUGGACUGUGAAGCACCUUGGGCAGCAGCCAGCAGCCAGAGGACAAGGUCUCAGCAGCUAGGAAGCUCAGAGCGUGCCUGAGCAAUGAGACCCUUGGAUGGGAAUCAGGCAGGGAGAGGAAGGCUGCUGGGGGUCGGGAGGGAUUUGUGCCUCAGAUAGGAUGUGUGUUCCUGGCUUCUAGAAGAUCGCUC
Molecule: long non-coding RNA, 1066 nt
Filed under: Macaca fascicularis (crab-eating macaque)
Lineage: Eukaryota; Metazoa; Chordata; Mammalia; Primates; Cercopithecidae
Description: lncRNA (ENSMFAG00000051813.1)
Source: RNAcentral